AAGUGGCAGAGCAGUCUACAAAACCGCCAGUUUAUUGGAUAGAUGUGAAGGACAUUGAGCAGGAUCUGGAUACCCAGGCAGAGGAUUGCUAUAUAGCAAUGGAGGCAUUAUGUGAGGUUUUGAACUCCAUGCAACCUCUUAUUGUCUAUUUCCCAGAUUCUUCUCAGUGGUUGUCCAGAGCAGCUCCCAGGUCUAAUCGUAAGGAGUUUGUCCGUAAGGUGCAGGAGGUGUUUGACCAAUUAUCAGGCCCAGUAGUUUUGAUUUGUGGGCAGAACAAAGUUGAAACUGGAUCCAAGGAGAAAGAGAAAUU
This is a long non-coding RNA of Pistacia vera, 310 nucleotides long. RefSeq lists it as uncharacterized. Lineage: Eukaryota; Viridiplantae; Streptophyta; Magnoliopsida; Sapindales; Anacardiaceae. The transcript is spliced from 3 exons. The record is from RefSeq and is a predicted model, not a curated record.